CCUACGGGGGGCAGCAGUCGGGAAUAUUGCGCAAUGGAGGAAACUCUGACGCAGUGACGCCGCGUAUAGGAAGAAGUUUUUCGGAAUGUAAACUAUUGUCGUUAGGGAAGAGAAAGGACAGUACCUAAGGAGGAAGCUCCGGCUAACUACGUGCCAGCAGCCGCGGUAAUACGUAGGGAGCGAGCGUUAUCCGGAUUUACUGGGUGUAAAGGGCGUGUAGGCGGGAGAGCAAGUCAGACGUGAAAUUCCAGGGCUCAACCCUGGAACUGCGUUUGAAACUGUUCUUCUUGAGUGAUGGAGAGGCA
This 305-nucleotide ribosomal RNA is filed under the name uncultured bacterium. Its description in RNAcentral is "bacterial SSU rRNA". It matches the Rfam family "Bacterial small subunit ribosomal RNA", at positions 338 to 659 of the family's 1533-position model. The record is from RNAcentral.